Platichthys flesus (European flounder) is the source of this 685-nucleotide long non-coding RNA. RefSeq lists it as uncharacterized. The record is from RefSeq and is a predicted model, not a curated record. Lineage: Eukaryota; Metazoa; Chordata; Actinopteri; Pleuronectiformes; Pleuronectidae. The transcript is spliced from 2 exons.
UGCGGAGGGUGUAGAGUGUCCUGUGAGCUUCUUCUCAAGAAAAUUUAACAAGCAUCAAUACAACUAUUCAGUGAUUGAGAAGGAGGCUUUGGCACUUGUUUGGGCUCUGCAGCAUUUUGAUGUCUAUGUCGGCUCAGGGUUAUCUCCGCUGACUGUCUUCACUGACCAUAACCCCCUCACCUUCUUGAAGUCACUGCAAAAUCCUAAUCAGAGGCUAAUGAGGUGGGCGCUGUUCCUGCAGCCAUAUAACCUAGACAUCCGACACAUUAAGGGGACUGACAAUGUAAUGGCAGAUGCCCUGUCUCGGGCACCUGUGGACCCUUAGUCUAUUUGUUCAUGCUGUCUCUCAUUUCCAUGUUCUCCUCUGCUCAUCUCUCGGCUCUUCAUUCCCUUAAAAUGCUCCUUUGGUACCAAGGCUGCUGGGUUGGUGAGGAUGGAGGGAUGUGCUGGAGGAUGCAGCCUGGGGGGAGUGCAGUACUGACUGUCAGUUAUUGGCUCCACGCCGCUACAGGUUCUUGGUUCUUGGUUCUUUUUGGCGUCUUCCUUGUACACUCAACAGCAGCACACACAUCUCACUCAUCCAUACACUACAUUCACCACUGAUGCCACUACUCUCCACACCUCAUGCUUUUUGUACAUAUAAUUGUUCAAGUUAUAAUAAAACCUUUUCAUUUAGCACUUUCAC